RNAcentral lists this unclassified non-coding RNA (451 nucleotides) under Hevea brasiliensis (rubber tree). Lineage: Eukaryota; Viridiplantae; Streptophyta; Magnoliopsida; Malpighiales; Euphorbiaceae. The record is from RNAcentral.
AAAAAAAAAAAAAGGAAAAAAAGAGAAAGCUGGAAAAUAAGCUGAUGGUAGCAACGGCAAAACUGGGAAAGCAAGUGUGAGAGACAAAAAGAACAAUAAGAAGAAGAAGAAAAGUGGGAAAAGAUUUGCAGAUUAGGGUGGAUAGACCGUACGAAGCACGCAAUAGUUAAGGGGUGGGGUUGCAAAAGGGGAGAACCCAAAAACAACCAAAACCCAAAACUGUGUGUGUGAUUCUUUUAGAUUCCACGGUCUAUCAACCCUUAUUCUGCUUUCUCUCUACUUUUGACCCCAAGCGUGCACGCUCGCUUCCUUCUCUCUUCUCCGUCUUUUCCCUGUUUCUGUCGCCCCUGCUGCUAUGGUUUUUCUAAUUUCUAGCUCCGUUCUCACUUAAGAGAGGGAGAUAGAGAGAAUACACCCGACUGCGCUUCCAUUCCUCAACACAGGGAUUUUU